CUCAGCUGCAACCAGCCUCCUUCCCUGUUUCAUAGUGUCUGGCCAGCCAGUGGUCUUUCUUAAAUCUCUGAGGAUUCUUCAGAGCAGGGUGGUAUGAUAGGUGAGUGCAGGGAUGAGGGGAGAACCAAAGGAGAAGGGGAGAACCUGCUUCACUGCUUUCUCCCCUUAUUUCCUUCACUCUUUUCCAGCCCCCACCUCCCUGGGUUGCUAUGCAGUUUCUAUGGCAGCAGCAUCCUCAGACUCAACUUUCACCCAUCAUUUAGAGCCAAUUAAGCCCGAGCGGGAAGCAGCAACAACUCUUCUCUCAGCUGUGGGAUUGGUGUGUAGAGGACACAUCACACAAGCAGCCAUAUUGAAGACCCCUUGGGGGGAACCCCAAUAUCACAGAAGAUCCUUCAAGACCUCAGCAAUUGCCUCUGCAUCUCUUCUGACUUUCUCGUCAUUCUCUCUCUCUCUCUCUCUCUCUCUCUCUCUCUCUCUCUCUCUCUCUCUCUCUCUCUCUCUCUCUCUCUCUCUCUCUCUCUCUCUCUCUCCUGUUUGCCCCUCUAUCUCUAUUUCUCAUUCCCUCUUUCUCCCUCUUUCUCUUUCCCUGUCUUUCAGUUCAUUUGUUUCUUUGCUCCCCCACCCCAUACGUCUCUUCCAUCCUAUUUUUAUUUCUGAUCCACCAGAGGAGAAAAAUAGUAAAAAAAAAUGCCAAUUGCUCAGUUAUUGGAACUAUGGAAAAAGAUCGAGGUGGAGCCCAUGGAAAUAGAG
RNAcentral lists this long non-coding RNA (753 nucleotides) under Monodelphis domestica (gray short-tailed opossum). Its description in RNAcentral is "lncRNA (ENSMODG00000039249.1)". The record is from RNAcentral. Lineage: Eukaryota; Metazoa; Chordata; Mammalia; Didelphimorphia; Didelphidae.